This 460-nucleotide ribosomal RNA is filed under the name uncultured bacterium. RNAcentral's name for it is "partial 16S ribosomal RNA". It matches the Rfam family "Bacterial small subunit ribosomal RNA", at positions 338 to 795 of the family's 1533-position model. The record is from RNAcentral.
CCUACGGGAGGCAGCAGUGAGGAAUAUUGGUCAAUGGGCGAGAGCCUGAACCAGCCAAGUCGCGUGAAGGAUGACGGCCCUACGGGUUGUAAACUUCUUUUGUCAGGGAGCAAUUGGGUCCACGCUUGGGCUUAGCGAGAGUACCUGAAGAAAACGCAUCGGCUAACACCGGGCUAGCAGCCGCGGUAAUACGGGGGUUGCGAGCGUGAUCCGGAUUUAUUGGGUUUAAGGGGUGCGUAGGCGGAAUAUCAAGUCAGAGGUAAAAAUUCGGGGUUCAACCCCGUCGUUCCAUUGAAACUGAUGUUCUUGAGUGGGCGAGAGGUAUGCGGAAUGCGUGGUGUAGCGGUGAAAUGCAUAGAUAUCACGCAGAACUCCGAUUGCGAAGGCAGCAUACCGGCGCCCAACUGACGCUGAAGCACGAAAGCGUGGGUAUCGAACAGGAUUAGAUACCCGAGUAGUC